RNAcentral lists this ribosomal RNA (459 nucleotides) under Velesunio sp. BMB-2003. Its description in RNAcentral is "partial 16S ribosomal RNA". It matches the Rfam family "Bacterial large subunit ribosomal RNA", at positions 1857 to 2607 of the family's 2925-position model. The record is from RNAcentral. Lineage: Eukaryota; Metazoa; Mollusca; Bivalvia; Unionida; Hyriidae.
GCCUGCCCAGUGAUAAAUUAAACGGCCGCGUUAGCGUGAGCGUGCUAAGGUAGCGUAAUAAACAGCCUUCUAAUUAAAGGCCAGUGAAAGGCAACACGGAAAACUCCUAUAUCUUAUGUGAUCAAAAAACUUUACCUUUAAGUGAAAAGGCUUAAAUAACAAAAAAAGACGAAAAGACCCCGCGGAGCUUUACUUCAGAACCUAAAUAGUAAAAUACUGCUGUUUAAAAGUUUGGUUGGGGCAACCCUGGAAUAAUAAAAUCUUCCAGUUCUUUACAACAUCUAUACAAAAUACGCUACAGACCAAAAAGAAGCUACCCCGGGGAUAACAGCGUAAUCCAACUCAAAAGUACACAUCGAAAGUUGGGUUUGCGACCUCGAUGUUGGCUUAGGGUGAUCCAUAAGGUGCAGCCGCUUUAAUGGGAUAGUCUGUUCGACUAUUAUAACCCUACGUGAUCUG